Molecule: ribosomal RNA, 459 nt
Filed under: uncultured bacterium
Lineage: Bacteria
Description: partial 16S ribosomal RNA
Rfam family: Bacterial small subunit ribosomal RNA
Source: RNAcentral
CCUACGGGAGGCAGCAGUGAGGAAUAUUGGUCAAUGGUCGGGAGACUGAACCAGCCAAGCCGCGUGAGGGAUGAAGGUACAGAGUAUCGUAAACCUCUUUUGUCAGGGAACAAAGGCGGGGACGUGUCCCCGGAUGAGUGUACCUGACGAAAAAGCAUCGGCUAACUCCGUGCCAGCAGCCGCGGUAAUACGGAGGAUGCGAGCGUUAUCCGGAUUUAUUGGGUUUAAAGGGUGCGCAGGCGGUCUGUUAAGUCAGCGGUCAAAGCCCGGGGCUCAACCCCGGCCCGCCGUUGAAACUGGCAGUCUAGAGUUGGAGAGAAGUAUGCGGAAUGCGCGGUGUAGCGGUGAAAUGCAUAGAUAUCGCGCAGAACUCCGAUUGCGAAGGCAGCAUGCCGGCUCCACACUGACGCUGAGGCACGAAAGCGUGGGUAUCGAACAGGAUUAGAUACCCGUGUAGUC